UGAAAUCCCAAAAAAUACAAAUUGCAAAUGGCAAGGAAAAGACCACUACAGAAGAAUAAGAGGAAUCCCUUGACAAUGCUCAAAGGAUGAAAAACCAACAUUAUUCAUAAUAGAACUACAACCAUUAAAAUCCAAUUACGUCUCAGAACGAAAAAUAAAUUUAGGCAAAUGGAGGAAUAGAAGAUCUUUGAGAGCUCAAAUUUUCUAGUCACCUCCUAGACCACGACAAUUCCACCCAACUGCAGUCACAGUGCCUUGGCGGGCCUGUCACGAUCAACACCCCAUCCACCUUCACCGGAGAGAGCGAAAUGGGUCCUGAGGGCCCACCAACACAUCAAAAUCAAAAGAACCAUCAGUCUCAGAGUGUGGCCCUGGGUUAGUAGCAAGUGGAAAUGGACCACAAAAGUCAGCCCAAGAGGAGGCCCCUCAGGCUCCAAUGAUGGCCCAGGAUCUGUGCCACUAUUUUCCAUAGGUGUUGAGCCCACAAUCUGUGUGUGAUCUGCUGAAAAGAAAUGAAGUAGCAGGCCCACCCGCCCCAACAAACCAAGGAGGCAGAUAGUCCACGAAUUAAAACACGCAUUGUCCCAAAAUCUAACUAGGGUUAAGAGAAAGAAAACAACCAGGGAGGAAACAAAGUAGUUACUAGUUCCCUGAUGCGCCGUCGCCGAGGAAGACCCCAUUGAAUCUGAACUCACGGAUGGGUCUGGAGAUGGAGUCGGACGAGAUGAAAGCAAAAGAGAAGGCCUAGCUGCCCCUUUCGCUUACGGCGGUGAGAUUGGCCUGUAGAAGCAGUGAGCGGAGGCAAGCGGACUGGAACUGAGACAGCCACGAGGAGCAUCGGGACCGCUCGCACUGGAACUGUCAGUCGAACCUCUGGUUGGAGUGUGAAAGCAUUCACCUUCCUAUACGAUCCUGUUGCAAGUGCCAUCCAUAGACCCCGAGUCUCCGUAUUAAGAGGAGGGAAACCAUCGACUUCGCACAUGUUAUAGUGAUGACCCAGAUGACCUCAAGAAUAGCACACCACCGGCAACCCCUCGUAGUGGAGGCGAACCCAAAAACCCGUCCUGUCUUCAGAGCGAGCGCGGCGACGAUAUAUAUUAUUUUAGAUUUUAGAUAUAGAUAGAUUUAGAUGUAGGUUAAACUAAAUCUACGGAGAUUAUUAAAGAAGGAGAGAGAUAGGCUUGCGCAUGGGGCAGAUCGGGGAUGGUUGACGGGUAUCAGAUCCCCGCCCAUCGUAGCCACCGGGCUUCCCAUCCCUGGCUGCAUGACGGAUCUAGAAAUCAAACCAUCCCCAUCACUAGCCAGAUAUAGGGUAGCCCGUGGAUGAUGAAAGCCCC
Molecule: long non-coding RNA, 1337 nt
Filed under: Linum usitatissimum (flax)
Lineage: Eukaryota; Viridiplantae; Streptophyta; Magnoliopsida; Malpighiales; Linaceae
Description: long non-coding RNA (LUSI_LNC004523)
Source: RNAcentral